This 315-nucleotide long non-coding RNA is filed under the name Gossypium barbadense (sea-island cotton). RNAcentral's name for it is "long non-coding RNA (GBAR_LNC018723)". The record is from RNAcentral. Lineage: Eukaryota; Viridiplantae; Streptophyta; Magnoliopsida; Malvales; Malvaceae.
UGCCAAUAUGACCAAAAAAGCUACAAUUAUAAGCCUAAAAUUUAGAGAUAAAGUUAUUUAUGUUCACCACCAUAUUAUCGUCCAUAGUCCAAGAGUAAUUCAAAACUGAAGCAAACUGCUCAUGCUCUAACCAAGAGGCAAGGAAGCAAAAGGGCUUUCUUUUAUUGGGCAUCUCAUGUAUCCUAGUAGAUAGGCAUAUCAGUCUGUGGUCCAAACCAAUAUAUAGGAGGUGAGCCACAGAAGAAUCCGAAAAUGUCUCCAACCAACUCGUAUUACAGAUUAAUCAGUCCAAUCUUUGAAGAAGAGAGCCUCGAC